RNAcentral lists this microRNA precursor (60 nucleotides) under Eptatretus burgeri (inshore hagfish). Its description in RNAcentral is "Ebu-Mir-29-P2e_pre stem-loop". It matches the Rfam family "mir-29 microRNA precursor family", at positions 6 to 64 of the family's 70-position model. From Rfam's summary of the family: This family represents the microRNA (miRNA) precursors mir-29. The record is from RNAcentral. Lineage: Eukaryota; Metazoa; Chordata; Myxini; Myxiniformes; Myxinidae.
ACUGAUUUCUUUUGGUGUUUAGAGUGUUUUACUCAAUCUAGCACCAUUUGAAAUCAGUUA